GAUGAACGCUGGCGGCGUGCCUAAUACAUGCAAGUCGAGCGAACAGACGAGGAGCUUGCUCCUUCGACGUUAGCGGCGGACGUGUGUGUAACACGUGUAUAACCUACCUAUAAGACUGGUAUAACUUCGGGAAACCGGAUCUAAUACCGGAUAAUCUUUUGCACCGCAUUGUUCGAUAGUGAAAUACGGCUGUGCUGUCACUUAUAGAGGGACCUGGGCCGUAUUAGCUAGUUGGUAAGGUAACGGCUUACCAAGGCAACGAUGCGUAGCCGACCUGAGAGGGUGAUCGGCAACACUGGAACGGAACCACGGUCAAGCCUCCUACGGGAGGCAGCAGUAGGGAAUCGGCCGCCACGGUCGAAAGCCUGACGGAGCAACGCCGAGUGAGAGAUGAAGGUCUUAGGAUCGUAAAACUCUGUUAUUAGUGAAGAACAAAUGUGUAAGUAACUGUGCACGGCUUGACGGUAACUAAUAAGAAAGCACCGGCUAACUACGUG
Molecule: ribosomal RNA, 497 nt
Filed under: uncultured bacterium
Lineage: Bacteria
Description: partial 16S ribosomal RNA
Rfam family: Bacterial small subunit ribosomal RNA
Source: RNAcentral